This 433-nucleotide ribosomal RNA is filed under the name uncultured bacterium. RNAcentral's name for it is "partial 16S ribosomal RNA". It matches the Rfam family "Bacterial small subunit ribosomal RNA", at positions 29 to 507 of the family's 1533-position model. The record is from RNAcentral.
AACGAACGCUGGCGGCAUGCCUAACACAUGCAAGUCGAACGAGACCUUCGGGUCUAGUGGCGCACGGGUGCGUAACGCGUGGGAACCUGCCCUUAGGUUCGGAAUAACUCCCCGAAAGGGGUGCUAAUACCGGAUAAUGUCUUCGGACCAAAGAUUUCUCGCCUUUGGAUGGGCCCGCGUUGGAUUAGCCAGUUGGUAGGGUACAAGCCUACCAAGGCGACGAUCCAUAGCUGGUCUGAGAGGAUGAUCAGCCACACUGGGACUGAGACACGGCCCAGACUCCUACGGGAGGCAGCAGUGGGGAAUAUUGGACAAGGGGCGAAAGCCUGAUCCAGCAAUGCCGCGUGAGUGAUGAAGGCCGUAGGGUUGUAAAGCUCUUUUACCCGGGAUGAUAAUGACAGUACCGGGAGAAUAAGCUCCGGCUAACUCCGUG